Clarias gariepinus (North African catfish) is the source of this 482-nucleotide long non-coding RNA. RefSeq lists it as uncharacterized. NCBI's taxonomy places the organism in Eukaryota, Metazoa, Chordata, Actinopteri, Siluriformes, Clariidae. The transcript has 3 exons. The record is from RefSeq and is a predicted model, not a curated record.
UUGGUGAGUUACAGGUGGGGAGGAAAGAAGUAUCUGAAGGACAGAGGAGAAGACUGAAGAAUAAAAAAAAACUGCUGAUUCUGAAAUGUCAUCGUGUUUCAGUGUAAGAAAAAAUAGGCUACCUGCAAGUUCAAGAGACAAUGACGAUCGAACAUUUACCAUGGGAGAAGAGGCAUCCAGUACAGAGACAAGGUCAUCGCCAGAUCCAGUUGUUUACUGCCUGUUUGGGGGAGGAUCUUUCUUGGAUACACUGGACUGUCCAUUUUGCUAUUUUGGUAUAUUAUAGAUUUGACUUACUUGCACUAACGCAUUAGGAUUCUGAACUAAAAGGUUAUUAUAAAAGUUAUUUGUACAUUAUAUAAGAACUAUAGAGUAAAGUUUCCAACCCAAUUUUUGAUGGAACAUGUUUGAAAUUGUUCAUUUCUUCAUAGGGUUUUUAGUCAAAUAGAUUUCACAGCAAUGUUUAAGUUUGUAGAACAGAA